AUGAUGUCUAGGAAGAUUGCAUAUCAGGCAUUCCUGAUCUCAGACGCCUUAGCGGCGUGCUCCUCGUUUGCUGUCGCCUUGAUAUGCACGAUCCAGGACAUAUCAUUUACUAAGAAGCUCAUGUGGUUUGCUUACGUGGCUUGUUCAGCUAGUUUAUAUGCAGUAAUGGUCCCGCGUCUCCACUGGUUGACCAUCGCACCAUGCCUUCUGGUGCUUUUUGGCCCAUUCUUACUAGGCAGCUGGGCAGAUGGCCGCCAAACUCUUAUAGGUUCUGAUACAAUCUCGAAGCAGUGGAAGUGA
Molecule: ribosomal RNA, 300 nt
Filed under: Triticum aestivum (bread wheat)
Lineage: Eukaryota; Viridiplantae; Streptophyta; Magnoliopsida; Poales; Poaceae
Description: partial small subunit ribosomal RNA
Source: RNAcentral